This 97-nucleotide non-coding RNA is filed under the name Intestinibacter bartlettii. RNAcentral describes it as "Clostridium bartlettii Guanine sequence". It matches the Rfam family "Purine riboswitch aptamer". Rfam says of the family: Riboswitches are metabolite binding domains within certain messenger RNAs that serve as precision sensors for their corresponding targets. Allosteric rearrangement of mRNA structure is mediated by ligand binding, and this results in modulation of gene expression. RNAcentral also lists the same sequence under 1 other name. Lineage: Bacteria; Bacillati; Bacillota; Clostridia; Peptostreptococcales; Peptostreptococcaceae. The record is from RNAcentral.
UGACAAAUAAAAUAUGAUACUUAUAUAAAUUCAUGAUUGGAUGAAUGUUUCUACAAACUACCGUAAUAGUUUUGCUAUAAGUUUUUGAAAAAAACGG